Candoia aspera is the source of this 1920-nucleotide long non-coding RNA. RefSeq lists it as uncharacterized. The record is from RefSeq and is a predicted model, not a curated record. Lineage: Eukaryota; Metazoa; Chordata; Lepidosauria; Squamata; Candoiidae. The transcript is spliced from 2 exons.
UAAGAAUGAAAUUGCCCUGAAAUAAAUGGAUGAAGCCUAUGGGCAAACUAGUUUUCCAAGCUAUAAUGUCCAUGCAGAUUCUCACCCAUGCCUUCAAGGUAACCCAAAGCUGGGGAAAAAAUCAGCAAUCCGUAUAAGAAGUGGAAGUACUGACAUCAGUAAUAAGUGCCUCCCUUUGCUUUAUCAUAGCUCUUUUGGCAGACCAGAUUGUGCAAAUAAUUGCCAGUUUGUGUAGCACACUCUGACACCUUUAUUUGUUGCUUGUUAAAUAGUUCCUAAAGAGCAGGGAGAUGUGUACUCUUAGGGACAUACAUCAACAUGAAACACAGUGGAGUUUCUGCUAUAUUCACAAUCCUCACAUGGGCUACAGUGUGGCUGUUCUUCUGAUAUCUUGAGAUCUGAGCUAGAAGUGAUAAUUUGGCCCAUGGCUGGCAGCUCAUGGUCCUGCUUAGAUUACUUUUCUGAUGCUCUGCACAUGAACAGAUAUAGAUGUAAUAUUAAAAGAGGGGUCAGGCAAGCUAAGGUGAUCCCUGUUUGCAAGCAUCCUGGAGCAGAGAAACAGUGUAGUGAUAAUGAUAGUGACUCUGGUGGGAUCCCCACUAGUGAUUUAAAGCAUAUUCUAGUCAUCCAUCACUAUUGAUGAAGAAAAAGAUGCCCUGUCCUUAUUACUGCUAUUUCAGCACAACAAUAGUUGGAUAACACCAAAGGUGCUCCAAGUCUCUUUGAGGAUCCUAUCUUUGUCUUUCCAAAGACAAGGAAUGGUUAUCUUGCUUGGAGAGAAAAAUAAGCAUUUUCAAUCUUUACCAGUGCCUCAUGCCCACUUGUCUCUUCUCAUCUCUGUCCUCCCACCUAAAAGAGUUUUGAACAUACCCACCAACCUUCUCUGUUUAUGAUCAUGAAAGUUGCCCUGAUGGAUUCCACAGGAAUGAGAUCCAUUUUACAUCAAGCACAUGAAAAGGACACACAUAACCUGCCUGGCAAAAUUAUUGCCCCAAAGUCUUUAGGAGAAAAUACUCCCAAAUGAACGAAUAUUCUGACAGUGAGAUGUGAUGGGUGGAACUGUUUGAUCCUUCUCUGCAGAAUUUGGGGGGAGUUCACUGAAGUUCUUCUGCUCCAUAGAAAUUCCAGAGUAGAGUGCAGAAAUCAGAAUGGUGUUUGUAAUUCAGUGUAAACAUAUGUUGAUGCAGAGGAGGUAGUGUUAGCUAUUCCUUGUCUGCAUUUAUAUUGGGUUAUAAUGCACCACAAUGUCACUGGACAUUUCUGAGGAUCUGCAGUCAGUACAGCUGCUGCAAAAGAAUGGGUGGGGAAAGGUUUCUUAUUGUGAGAAUUUGGACUGUGUAAAAUGAGAACAGGGGCUAGCAUAAUUUGGUGCUCCAUCGUUUUCUCUGCUCACAUUAAUGGCUUCAAAACCCAGUAAGUAAUGUUGCUUUACCCUUUCCUUGCUGCUUUCAUACUGAGCUUUGGAUUCUUAGCAGCAUCCCAAUUCCUUGCUGCUGCUAGCACUCUGCAUGCAAAUAAUGAUUCUAAUGAAAUGUGGAAUAAUUCGUGUUGUCUAAUUCUCAAUGCAAAAUGCAUCAGGGUACACAUAAUUUGUGCAGUGUUUCAUACAAAUUUAUGGGCUGCAAUAAUGCUUGAACUGUCUCUCACACUUCUCUGUGUUUCCCCAUUCUAUCUUUAAAAUAGGUAGUCUUUGCAAAGAUAAAACCUCAAACAUUUCUAUUACAAACCUGGAUAUUUUGAAGCACAUUUUGGAAUUUUUAUAAAUCAAAGACAUGGUUAAUGAAGCCUCAGAUCCAAAAUAUAAAAUAGAUAGAUAGAUAGAUAGAUCUAUCCCUUGAUCUACCAGGUACAUGAGUCAAUGAACAAUAAGAACAUCAACACUUCAGACUGAAAACCAUCAUAAAGCCAGUCAUUCUAAAA